GAUGAACGCUGGCGGCGUGCCUAAUACAUGCAAGUCGAGCGAACAGACGAGGAGCUUGCUCCUUUGACGUUAGCGGCGGACGGGUGAGUAACACGUGGAUAACCUACCUAUAAGACUGGGAUAACUUCGGGAGACCGGAGCUAAUACCGGAUAACAUGUUGAACCGCAUGGUUCAACAGUGAAAGACGGUCUUGCUGUCACUUAUAGAUGGAUCCGCGCCGCAUUAGCUAGUUGGUAAGGUAACGGCUUACCAAGGCAACGAUGCGUAGCCGACCUGAGAGGGUGAUCGGCCACACUGGAACUGAGACACGGUCCAGACUCCUACGGGAGGCAGCAGUAGGGAAUCUUCCGCAAUGGGCGAAAGCCUGACGGAGCAACGCCGCGUGAGUGAAGAAGGUCUUCGGAUCGUAAAACUCUGUUAUUAGGGAAGAACAAAUGUGUAAGUAACUAUGCACGUCUUGACGGUACCUAAUCAGAAAGCCACGGCUAACUACGUG
This 497-nucleotide ribosomal RNA is filed under the name uncultured bacterium. RNAcentral's name for it is "partial 16S ribosomal RNA". It matches the Rfam family "Bacterial small subunit ribosomal RNA", at positions 28 to 507 of the family's 1533-position model. The record is from RNAcentral.